UCUUGGUCCCAUUUAGAGGAAGUAAAAGUCGUAACAAGGUUUCCGUAGGUGAACCUGCGGAAGGAUCAUUACCGAGUGUAGGGUUCCUAGCGAGCCCAACCUCCCACCCGUGUUUACUGUACCUUAGUUGCUUCGGCGGGCCCGCCAUUCAUGGCCGCCGGGGGCUCUCAGCCCCGGGCCCGCGCCCGCCGGAGACACCACGAACUCUGUCUGAUCUAGUGAAGUCUGAGUUGAUUGUAUCGCAAUCAGUUAAAACUUUCAACAAUGGAUCUCUUGGUUCCGGCAUCGAUGAAGAACGCAGCGAAAUGCGAUAACUAGUGUGAAUUGCAGAAUUCCGUGAAUCAUCGAGUCUUUGAACGCACAUUGCGCCCCCUGGUAUUCCGGGGGGCAUGCCUGUCCGAGCGUCAUUGCUGCCCAUCAAGCACGGCUUGUGUGUUGGGUCGUCGUCCCCUCUCCGGGGGGGACGGGCCCCAAAGGCAGCGGCGGCACCGCGUCCGAUCCUCGAGCGUAUGGGGCUUUGUCACCCGCUCUGUAGGCCCGGCCGGCGCUUGCCGAACGCAAAUCAAUCUUUCCAGGUUGACCUCUGAUCAGGUAGGGAUACUCCGCUGAACUUAAGCAUAUCAUAGGCCGGAAGGA
RNAcentral lists this ribosomal RNA (636 nucleotides) under Aspergillus sp. OTU027 AN-2016. RNAcentral describes it as "eukaryotic LSU rRNA". The stretch from base 254 to 407 matches the Rfam family "5.8S ribosomal RNA". Lineage: Eukaryota; Fungi; Ascomycota; Eurotiomycetes; Eurotiales; Aspergillaceae. The record is from RNAcentral.